CUUUAUGAGGUGCAACCAAAACAGCUGUUAGACAUUGCAACAGGGAUAUUCUGGCAGGGUGUCUGUCUAGCAUUAGUUCUGAAUACGAUUGUGGUUUUGAUCACUAAAAUGGCUGUGACUUUUGGACUCUCUUUGAGGUGCUUAUGGGCAUCCUGCCUCCACUGGAGCCCAAGCGAGUGUGGUGUCUGUUCCAAAUGCUAAAGCUACUGGCCACAAUAGCUCGGCAAAUGUGACGUCGGGUCGAAAUGCCUCAGCAGGAGCGACCGGCCCCCGCGCCUCAGCAGGAGCGACCGGCCCCCGCGCCUCAGCAGAAGCGACCUGCGCCUCAGCAGAAGCAUCUGGCCCCCGCGCCUCAGCAGAAGCGACCGGCCCCCGCGCCUCAGCAGAAGCGACCGGCCCCCGCGCCUCAGCAGAAGCGACCCGCGCCUCAGCAGAAGCAUCUGGCCCCCGCGCCUCAGCAGAAGCGACCGCGCC
Long non-coding RNA from Oncorhynchus tshawytscha (Chinook salmon), 474 nucleotides. Lineage: Eukaryota; Metazoa; Chordata; Actinopteri; Salmoniformes; Salmonidae. The record is from Ensembl.